This 572-nucleotide ribosomal RNA is filed under the name uncultured bacterium. Its description in RNAcentral is "bacterial SSU rRNA". It matches the Rfam family "Bacterial small subunit ribosomal RNA", at positions 338 to 873 of the family's 1533-position model. The record is from RNAcentral.
CCUACGGGAGGCAGCAGUGGGGAAUCUUGCGCAAUGGCCGAGAGGCUGACGCAGCGACGCCGCGUGGGGGAUGAAGCAUUUCGGUGUGUAAACCCCUGUUGCUCGGGACGAACGAUCCUUUUCGAGGGAUGUGACGGUACCGAGUGAGGAAGCACCGGCUAACUCCGUGCCAGCAGCCGCGGUAAUACGGAGGGUGCGAGCGUUGUCCGGAAUCACUGGGCGUAAAGGGCGCGUAGGUGGUUGGAUGCGCCGGUGGUGAAAGCGCAGGGCUCAACCCUGCGUCGGCCAUCGGGACGGUCCGACUGGAGCACUGUAGAGGCAGGUGGAAUUCCGGGUGUAGCGGUGGAAUGCGUAGAGAUCCGGAAGAACACCGGUGGCGAAGGCGGCCUGCUGGGCAGUUGCUGACACUGAGGCGCGACAGCGUGGGGAGCGAACAGGAUUAGAUACCCUGGUAGUCCACGCCGUAAACGAUGGGCACUAGGUGCUUGGGGGAGCGACCCCCUGAGUGCCGACGCUAACGCAUUAAGUNCCCCGCCUGGGGNGACGACCGCGAGUAGAACACAAGAAGUGNG